UACGAAGGGGGCUAGCGUUGCUCGGAAUGACUGGGCGUAAAGGGCGCGUAGGCGGAUCACGCAGUCAGAUGUGAAAUUCCUGGGCUUAACCUGGGGGCUGCAUUUGAGACGCGUGGUCUAGAGUGUGAAAGAGGGUCGUGGAAUUCCCAGUGUAGAGGUGAAAUUCGUAGAUAUUGGGAAGAACACCGGUGGCGAAGGCGGCGACCUGGUUCAUGACUGACGCUGAGGCGCGAAAGCGUGGGGAGCAAACAGG
RNAcentral lists this ribosomal RNA (253 nucleotides) under uncultured bacterium. RNAcentral's name for it is "partial 16S ribosomal RNA". It matches the Rfam family "Bacterial small subunit ribosomal RNA", at positions 524 to 776 of the family's 1533-position model. The record is from RNAcentral.